This 2000-nucleotide ribosomal RNA is filed under the name marine metagenome. RNAcentral describes it as "bacterial LSU rRNA". It matches the Rfam family "Bacterial large subunit ribosomal RNA", at positions 1 to 2068 of the family's 2925-position model. The record is from RNAcentral.
GGAAGUGAAUAAGAGCGUAUGGCGAAUGCCUAGGCUCUCGGAGACGACGAAGGACGUGGUAAGCUGCGAAAAGCUAUGGGGAGGUGCAAACAACCUUUGAUCCAUAGAUGUCCGAAUGGGGAAACCCCACAUUUUGAAGAAAUGUGAUUGCGCAAGCAAAGAAAACCCAGGGAACUGAAACAUCUAAGUACCUGGAGGAAAGGAGAACAAUUAGUGAUUCCGCAAGUAGUGGCGAGCGAACGCGGAAAAGCCCUAAAGUCUAUAUAUAAGGAGUAGAACAUGAUGGGAAUCAUGACCAUAGAAGGUGAAAGUCCUGUAAGCGAAGAUAUAUAUAGAUGAAACGAGUAAGGCGGAACCGGAGAAAUUCUGUCUGAAUAUAGCUGCACCAUCAGCUAAGGCUAAAUACUCCCGAGAGACCGAUAGUGAACUAGUACUGUGAAGGAAAGGUGAAAAGAACCCUAAAAAAGGGAGUGAAAAGAUCCUGAAACCGUACGCUUACAAGCGGUCGGAGCACUUCGGUGUGACGGCGUGCCUUUUGCAUAAUGAGCCUACGAGUUACUCCUCACUAGCAAGCUUAAGUACUUUAGGUACGGAGGCGCAGCGAAAGCGAGUCUGAAUAGGGCGAUUAAGUUAGUGGGGGUAGACGCGAAACCUGGUGAUCUACCCAUGGGCAGGUUGAAGCUUCGAUAGUAUCGAAGUGGAGGACCGAACCGGUAUAUGUUGAAAAAUGUUCGGAUGACCUGUGGGUAGGGGUGAAAGGCCAAUCAAACCAGGAGAUAGCUCGUACUCCCCGAAAUGCAUUUAGGUGCAGCGUCGUGAAGAGUGUCAUGGAGGUAGAGCUACCGAUAGGGCUAGGGGGCUUCACCGCCUACCAACCCCUGACGAACUCCGAAUGCCAUGACAUUGCAGCGGCAGUGAGGCUAUGGGUGCUAAGGUCCGUAGCCAAGAGGGAAACAACCCAGACCAUCAAUUAAGGUCCCAAAGUAUAUACUAAGUUGAAUGAACGAGGUGGGAAUGCUAAGACAGCUAGGAUGUUGGCUUGGAAGCAGCCAUUCAUUUAAAGAGUGCGUAACAGCUCACUAGUCGAGCGUUCCUGCGCGGAAAAUAAUCGGGCAUCAAGUAUAUCACCGAAAUUAUGGAUUGUACGUAAGUACAGUGGUAGGGGAGCAUUCUAAUUGCGUUGAAGUUGUACCGUGAGGUAUGGUGGAGCGGUUAGAAAAGAAAAUGUAGGCAUGAGUAACGAUAAAAUAGGUGAGAAACCUAUUCGCCGUAAGACUAAGGGUUCCUAGAUCUAUGCUAAUCAGAUCAGGGUUAGUCGGCACCUAAGGUGUACCCGAGAGGGGAAGCCGAUGGAAAACAGGUUAAUAUUCCUGUACUUGUUUAUACUGCGAUGGGGUGACGGAGAAGCGUAAGACCUGCCAUGUGACGGAAUACAUGGUUGAAGUGCGUAGGCGUUGAUUCAGUAGGUAAAUCCGCUGAUGAGCAGAAACACGAUAGUAUUUAAUCUUGCUUGCAAGAUUGAAAUAAUGGUCCCAAGCAUACUUCCAAGAAAAACCCCUAAGCUUCAGGUAUAAACAAGCCGUACCGUAAACCGACACAGGUAGUCGAGGAGAGUAUCCUAAGGCGCUCGAGUGAUUCAUGGCUAAGGAACUAGGCAAAAUGGUCUCGUAACUUCGGGAGAAGAGACGCUCUAAUUAAAUUUAGAGCCGCAGUGAAGAGGCCCAGGCGACUGUUUAGCAAAAACACAGGACUCUGCAAAAUCGUAAGAUGAAGUAUAGGGUCUGACACCUGCCCGGUGCUGGAAGGUUAAGGAAGGUUGUUAGUCUUCGGACAAAGCAAUUGACUGAAGCCCCAGUAAACGGCGGCCGUAACUAUAACGGUCCUAAGGUAGCGAAAUUCCUUGUCGGGUAAGUUCCGACCUGCACGAAUGGUGUAACGAUCUGGGCACUGUCUCAGCCAUGAGCUCGGUGAAAUUGUAGUAUCGGUGAAGAUGCCGAUUA